Molecule: small RNA, 425 nt
Filed under: Pongo abelii (Sumatran orangutan)
Lineage: Eukaryota; Metazoa; Chordata; Mammalia; Primates; Hominidae
Description: processed transcript
Source: RNAcentral
AGCAGCUCCGCCGGCAGCCGCGGGAGCACGGCGACGCCAGCGGCGGGAAGGGAAAAGGCGAGGCAUCAGCGUAUGAAGACCGCAAAGACAAUCCCGAGUACAGUUGUGAACGGCAUUGCUGCUAGGCUCCUCCUGCAGUUCAUCUGAAAUGAACCUCUCUUAUUGAUUUUUAUUGGCCUAGAGCCAGGAGUACUGCAUUCAGUUGACUUUCAGGGUAAAAAGAAAACAGUCCUGGUUGUUGUCAUCAUAAACAUAUGGACCAGUGUGAUGGUGAAAUGAGAUGAGGCUCCGCAAUGGAACUGUAGCCACUGCUUUAGCAUUUAUCACUUCCUUCCUUACUUUGUCUUGGUAUACUACAUGGCAAAAUGGGAAAGAAAAACUGAUUGCUUAUCAACGAGAAUUCCUUGCUUUGAAAGAACGUCUUC